RNAcentral lists this small RNA (948 nucleotides) under Rattus norvegicus (Norway rat). Its description in RNAcentral is "uncharacterized LOC108353016". The record is from RNAcentral. Lineage: Eukaryota; Metazoa; Chordata; Mammalia; Rodentia; Muridae.
UGAGGCCCCAACAAUCAGUCCUCCUCAUUGCCCAGAAACCUCGGGAUGAACUCAGUCCAUGGUUCCAGUGACAGCCUUAGUGCAUCUUUAACUUCCUUCUCAUCCCUAAAACUGGGUUAAUAAUUUCCAUCUAUACAUCAAAGAAUUUGCAUGAAUUAGUGUUAUCAUUUAACAAAGAAUAUUGAACACAUGCUUUCACAAAGGUUUUGUACUAAGGCUGACAUAAUUUAUGGCCUCUUGGAAUGUGCAAUAUGGCAUCACAAUAGAGAAAGCCAAGAGUUCCAUGGCAGCAUUUAACCAUAGGUGCUUGAGGAGACACGAGGACGAUCAGUAAAGGCAGUCUUCAAGAAUACGCAGGAAUGGCCAGGCGACGGGGAGGGGUGAGGAUCAAGGGAAACAGACUGUAGGGAAGUAGUCCGUCUUAUAAUGGAGGAGGGAUGUCCAUGAGGAAGGCGAAACAGCUGGGCUAACCUCAGAAUGUUCAGUGGGUUAGUAUAAGACACCGGAGGGGAAAAGAACAGAUCUGAAAUCCAAUCAUACGGAGCCUUGAAGGCUGUGAGAAAGACACCAGCCAACCUAAAAUCAGCGGGAAGCCACUCGCUCAUGAAAUUCUUCAAUACAGAUUGAUUUGAUUAUAUACAAUGAUACAAAACAAACUGUUUCUGGGAGUGGAAAUCUGCCUUCUGAAAAUGGAAAAAACGAUGAAACUUCUAACCACUGCACAUCAGCAUCAUUAGUGCUGUUCAUGGCUUUCGUCUCUUGCUUCUAAACGAGAGAAAAGGAUACAGAUGGAGACACGUGAGGUGUAGUUGUAACAGGCGGGACUGGCUUCCACCUGAUUUUGAAAGGUGUCAGUUUCUGAUCACAGAUGGACUGCCCAAGAUCUUCCACUUUGCUCCAGGAUUUUUCCCCUGAGCGCUAAAAAUUUCAACAAAUGCGCCUCCCUGG